Molecule: non-coding RNA, 4457 nt
Organism: Rattus norvegicus (Norway rat)
Lineage: Eukaryota; Metazoa; Chordata; Mammalia; Rodentia; Muridae
Source: RefSeq, a predicted model, not a curated record
CUGAGGACCCACAUUGUGAACUUUCAAGACCAUUUUAAACUCUGAUUUUUUCCCCUCGCUCCCUUCCAGUUUAAUCAAGGAUUCGAUUCCACCUGUCAAGUCCAUGUUCUACACUUUUUGGGCUGUAUUUCAGACUUUUAUUGUAUACAUUGGAAUGGAAUGAAUUCAGAAGAAUCAUCUCAGUCAGACGCAUUGUCCUGUAUAGCACAUACUGCCAUUCUCCAGAUUCCUAUCUUACAGUAAGGGGCAAAAGCAGAAAGUAAGAGAAGAUGAGAACAGAAAAGAAAAGGAUGGCAAAACCAGAAAAAAGAAGACUAAAUAGCCCCUUUGAAUGCAUGAUCUAUGGAAGCUGGAGGCUGGAGAGAUUAAGACACCCUGAAGUGGAAUUUCUCCAUAAGACAGUGUCUAUGUCCUUGCACAGAUGCUCGAAGAAUCAGCAAGUCUGAGAUCAAGUUUGCCAGGAAUAGAAAGGUGAUAUGUUUCAUUUACACCAAAGGGGGAGCAGUGAGGGUCUCUCUAGAAGGCUGAUGUUACUGCUCAGAUCUGAGUGCAGCAGACAAGAAAGAGAUGUGACUAUUGAUGGAAAAUGAUGAAUUCUAGAAGGGAGAUGAAUUUCUUCAGAAGAUGUGCCUGCUCUGCAGAAAGUGAGGCCGAAUGGAAAGGGAAUGGCUUUGGAACAAGAUUUCACUGGAUCCAAGGGCUGGCUCUACUUAUAAGCUACAUAGUGCCAGGUAUGAGUUUGAAUUACAUUAUUCUUGAGUGGCUCACAUUUGACAUGAUGGCUAGUCUUUGUCACAGUGACGUACCUUGGAAACUGGAACCUCAGUUGGACAAUUUUCUCCAUCAUAUUGGCCCAUAGGCAUAUUUAUGAACAUUUCGGUGUGCAUGCUUGUAUGCGUGUAUAUGUGAGUGUGUGGUUGAUGUAGGAGGGCUCAAGCUACUGUGGGAGGUGCCAUCCUCAGGCAGCUAAACCUGGAUUGUAAAAGAAAAGUAGCUGAAUGUGGGUCUGGAAGCAAGUUGGUAGUUCUUCUGCAGUUCCUCAUUCAAGCUUCUGUCUGGAGUUCCCUUGCUUCCCUUGAAGAUGAAUUGUGGCCUAGAGGGUUGAGCUUAAUCAACACCAUCUUCCCUUAGCUACUUUUAGUCAUAAGUGUUUUAUAACAGCAACAGAAAGCAAAGUAGGGUACUUGGGUAAAAGAAACUGAGGCAGGAGAAUUUUCUAGAGUCAGAGGCCAGGUUAGGAUACAUAGUGAGUCCUAGACCAGACUGGGCUGUAACAAGAGAUCUUGUUUCUGUUAAACAAUCAAAACAAGUCAAGUGAAAUUUGAAUUACUCUCUUUAUAGAUUUGUGAUAGCACCUGGUUCUUAGUUUUCCUAGAUACCUUCUUUGUCUUGGCAGCAGAUUACUGUCUUUAUAGGCAGUGAAAAAUAACGUAAGAAGUAGAUUUAGUUCAAAAAAUUUGGUAAAAAUUAAAAAUAUUCUUAAAUAUAAACAUUUAUGAUGUUUAAGAAAAGGCUAACUUAGAGUUACCAGUAGGGUUUGCAGAUAUUGUAUGCCACAAAUGACGUAUGGGUCAUAUUUGCAUGCACUGCCCUUUAUCUGAAAUUCAGAAAACAAUUAUCCCCCCUGUUAUUUAUGGUGCAAAAAAAAAUCUGUAAAUGAAUAUGGAAUAAAGAGCCUGGGCAAUUCCAGCAGAGCAGGUGAGGCUGACACACUGGGAGGCAGCUUGCUGAUUAUGGCUGUGUGUCAAAAGCAGUAGGUGGGAGAACCAGGUGAGGUUCUUUUAAAACCCAGGCUUGGCUAAGUGUGAUAUGUUAGCCCUUAAAUAAUUGAUAAUUGGUAACAUAAUUCUAAUUGCUCAAGUGUUUAAUCAGAAGUUAACUUGUGGUAAGAGUUUACUUAUAUUGAAUGGAUAUAUCCUGCUGCAUGAUGGGUGUGGGUUAUCCAGAGACAGCUAUUUGGAGCUCAGGAAGCGAGAAUGCAUCCCAUACAGCUUUGCCCUCCCCUUAGGAAAUAAAAUAUAUGUGAAUAAAAUCCCUCAAUCCUUGGGCAUCACUGGGCUAUGCAACCCCAACUGUGGGAACUUUCCAGAGCUGAGCUUUUUGAACACUAACAGGAAGUAGGCCUAGUUUCCUGUCUUGGUUUGAUCAUUAUGUCUUUCCUUUCUGCAUUAAAAUGAAUCCUCCUUCCAUGUCAACUCAGAUAAUUUGGUUUUCAGGAGAGUCACUGCCACAUUUCUGCUGCUGUAGGUCUUUUGGCUCUGGAAUGAACCCUCUCUAGAGUUUGGUGCUGGUGACCAAAAAGAUUGGACUGCCUCAGGGCAUUGCACUUCCAGGCACAUGGACAGGAUAAUUAUUUCUUUUAUUUUAAUUUGCAUACUUUUGGCUUGAUAGCAAGUUUGAAAUAUUCUUUCAAAACAUUUAUUUCAUUUACUCCUAUUCUUUGUGAUGUUCUUUGUACUAAUUUCUACUGGUGUUCUAAACAUCUUUAUUUUAGAUAUUGCCUUAAGGGCCAGUAACACGAUGCCUUUCUUCAUGGGGUGGAAUUUCUCUGUCUUUAACAUGACAACGAUGUCUUUCAAUGAAAGAACCUUCUCAAGCUAUUCAUAGCCAUAUCCUCUCACACAUGCUCAUUGUGGCUAAUUUUGAUAUAUGGUUAUUCUGUUCUCCCACACUUGAGUAUCACAAUUCGUUUUCAAUAUGCAUUCCACUGUGUUAGAUUUAUUUUAACACACAUUUCAGGUGACUUUUUUUUUUACCACAACUGCACUUCUAAAUUGUGUGUUUGUGUGUGCAUGCAUGUGUGCGUGCAUGAGUUUAAUUAGCUUGCUAUUCAUUAAUUUUAUAUUGUAGCUCAUUAUUUAAUUAUUUCUGUACGAUAUCAGACUCUUUAUAUUGGGUAUAGUCUUAUAUGAAGUAUUGAUAUUAUGACUAGUUUACUUUUGGGUCUUGGUGCACGUACGUGCACACUGUGUGUGUGUGUGUGUGUGUGUGUGUGUGUGUGCGUGCGUGCGCAUGCGCUCUCACAUCAUUGAAUAUGUUUUUGAACACAUGUGCUUAGCAAUUUUUUGACGUAGAGAAUUGCAGAAGAAAUGAAGUUCAUCACUUGGCCAGAUGAAUAGCAAGUAAACUCUGGGCAUCCAGCUAUUUCCAACCCUGAAUGUUAAGGUUACAGACACAGCUACUGCACCAAGCCCUUUACCUGGGCCCUGAACACCUGCACUCCAGUGUCGAUCCCAGAGUGUCAAGUGCUACUCACUGAUCCAUUUCUCCAGCUCCUACUUUUGUGAUUUUUCAUUUGACAAAAGAAUAAUAGUUGUUUAUAACCUUUAUUUCUGUAUAAAUAUGUAACAUGAGUUUAAUGAUUCUAAAAGAUUCAACUCAACUUUCAUAGGAAUUCAGUGUAUUUGUAGUUUGGUGUUCUUACUUUUUCUUGUUAUACUUCUAAAAAUUAUACAAAAUGUGAGCUAACCUUCUCAUAGAUGCUUGGAAGUUUACUUGUAAAAGUCUGAAGCUUUGAGGAAGGAUGGACUUUACUUUUACUUUUAUGUUUUGACAAGGUCUCUGUCACUAUGUGGUCCAUGAUGGCCUACAACUCUUCCUCCUUUACCUUCUAAGACUCUGUGCUUAUGGGCAGUGUUAACGUUCUAAGGCAACUUAAGGACACACAGAUCCAAAAGAGACCAAUCUGAACUCAGCAGAUAAAUGGUUGGUUUCAAACUCAAGGGGCAGACACAAUAAGAAAGGGAUGUCUACUGAAGAGGGAAGGGGAUUCCUGGAGUUUGUAUAGGACCUUUGGAGAGUGGGAAGGUAAUUUGUGGCCCUGGAGGGCUAUGUGCAAUUCUGUAAUGUCUUCCCCCUUGGCUUAUUUGUUCAAACAGGCCUUUUUAUCUUAGAAACUGUACUGUUCUGGCUAUCAGGAUAUAGGAAAUAGUGGGAGGCAGAGUUAGGCAAAGGUAGCCAGGGCAAAGAGGCUGGAGUUUCAAUAUAGAGCCUUGGUCAAGGACUGGAGCAUUUGGUGAGGGUUUAUUUCAACAGCAUGCUUCGCUUAUAAUUUUGUUUUUCUGAUAUCUUUUAGUUUCUGUUUCCCCUCCAUUUUACCAUUUAUUCUUGACAUUUAUACCAACUGGAUUUUAAAUUUUUAACCGCCCCAUUAAUCUAUUGCAAUUAUUUUCAAGCUAUUUUGUCUUUAGUGGCUUUGUACUUUUGAACACAUUUUUAAAAUUUAAAUUCUUCACUUUUUUCUUGAAUUAGCAUAUCACAAUUACCCAUUAAUAAUGCCUUACAAAAUCAGAUAGGAGUAUAAUGUGCUCUUGUUUUAGCUAUGGUGUUUUUCUGAGGGCACAGUACUAUGUAAAUCUAUCCUGUCCUUAAAUGUUUCCUUUUGUCUUUCUUAUGAUGCUCUUGUUUCUGUUACCUAAUUCUUAAUCUUCUCUUAUUUUAAAAAAAACCUUCUUGAC